UACGGGGGGAGCAAGCGUUGUUCGGAUUUACUGGGCGUAAAGGGCGCGGUAGGCGGUCGUGACAAGUCACUUGUGAAAUCUCCGGGCUUAAACUCGGAACGGUCAAGUGAUACUGUCGGACUAGAGUACAGAAGGGGCAACUGGGAAUUCUCGGUGUAGCGGUGAAAUGCGUAGAUAUCGAGAGGAACACCUGCGGCGAAGGCGGGUUGCUGGGCUGAUACUGACGCUGAGGCGCGAAAGCCAGGGGAGCGAACGGG
This 257-nucleotide ribosomal RNA is filed under the name uncultured bacterium. Its description in RNAcentral is "partial 16S ribosomal RNA". It matches the Rfam family "Bacterial small subunit ribosomal RNA", at positions 524 to 776 of the family's 1533-position model. The record is from RNAcentral.